RNAcentral lists this ribosomal RNA (484 nucleotides) under uncultured archaeon. RNAcentral's name for it is "bacterial SSU rRNA". It matches the Rfam family "Archaeal small subunit ribosomal RNA", at positions 102 to 568 of the family's 1478-position model. The record is from RNAcentral.
GGUUAACCUACCCUCAGGACGGGGACAAACCCGGGAAACUGGGGCUAAUACCAGAUAGGCGAGGGCGCCUGGAAUGGUUCUUCACCCAAAGGGCUUUGGAAACAUGCUUUUCAAAGUCGCCUGGGGAUGGGGCCGCGUCCGAUCAGGUUGUUGGUGAGGUAAUGGCUCACCAAGCCUAUAACCGGUACGGGCCGUGAGAGCGGUAGCCCGGAGAUGGGCACUGAUACAAGGGCCCAGGCCCUACGGGGCGCAGCAGUCGCGAAAACUCCGCAAUGCACGAAAGUGUGACGGGGCUACCCCGAGUGCCGUCCGCUGAGGAUGGCUUUUCCUCGGUGUAACUAGCCGGGGGAAUAAGGAGAGGGCAAGACUGGUGUCAGCCGCCGCGGCAAUACCAGCUCUCCGAGUUGUAGGGAUGAUUAUUGGGCUUAAAGCGUCCGUAGCUGGCUUAGCAAGUCUCCUGUUAAAUUCAGCGACCUAAUCGUUG